RNAcentral lists this ribosomal RNA (253 nucleotides) under uncultured bacterium. RNAcentral's name for it is "partial 16S ribosomal RNA". It matches the Rfam family "Bacterial small subunit ribosomal RNA", at positions 524 to 776 of the family's 1533-position model. The record is from RNAcentral.
UACGUAGGGUGCAAGCGUUAAUCGGAAUUACUGGGCGUAAAGCGUGCGCAGGCGGUUUUGUAAGUCAGAUGUGAAAUCCCCGGGCUUAACCUGGGAACUGCGUUUGAAACUACAAGGCUAGAGUGUGGCAGAGGGGGGUGGAAUUCCACGUGUAGCAGUGAAAUGCGUAGAGAUGUGGAGGAACACCGAUGGCGAAGGCAGCCCCCUGGGUUAACCCUGACGCUCAGGCACGAAAGCGUGGGGAGCAAACAGG